UACGUAGGUGGCAAGCGUUAUCCGGAAUUAUUGGGCGUAAAGCGCGCGCAGGUGGUUCUUUAAGUCUGAUGUGAAAGCCCCCGGCUCAACCGGGGAGGGUCAUUGGAAACUGGGGAACUUGAGUAUAGAAGAGGAAAGUGGAAUUCCACGUGUAGCGGUGAAAUGCGUAGAGAUGUGGAGGAACACCAGUGGCGAAGGCGACUUUUGGUCUAUAACUGACACUGAGGCGCGAAAGCGUGGGGAGCAAACAGG
Molecule: ribosomal RNA, 252 nt
Filed under: uncultured bacterium
Lineage: Bacteria
Description: partial 16S ribosomal RNA
Rfam family: Bacterial small subunit ribosomal RNA
Source: RNAcentral